UGGGGAAUAUUGCACAAUGGGCGCAAGCCUGAUGCAGCCAUGCCGCGUGUGUGCAGAAGGCCUUCGGGUUGUAAAGCACUUUCAGCGGGGAGGAAGGCGUUAAGGUUAAUAACCUUGGCGAUUGACGUUACCCGCAGAAGAAGCACCGGCUAACUCCGUGCCAGCAGCCGCGGUAAUACGGAGGGUGCAAGCGUUAAUCGGAAUUACUGGGCGUAAAGCGCACGCAGGCGGUCUGUCAAGUCGGAUGUGAAAUCCCCGGGCUCAACCUGGGAACUGCAUUCGAAACUGGCAGGCUAGAGUCUUGUAGAGGGGGGUAGAAUUCCAGGUGUAGCGGUGAAAUGCGUAGAGAUCUGGAGGAAUACCGGUGGCGAAGGCGGCCCCCUGGACAAAGACUGACGCUCAGGUGCGAAAGCGUGGGGAGCAAACAGG
Molecule: ribosomal RNA, 429 nt
Filed under: Chloroflexota bacterium
Lineage: Bacteria; Bacillati; Chloroflexota
Description: Chloroflexi bacterium partial 16S ribosomal RNA
Rfam family: Bacterial small subunit ribosomal RNA
Source: RNAcentral